AUUGAUCGUGACCUGCGCAGUGCAGUUAGAGCUUUCUAGACCAGACUUCCCUUUGUCUGAGUAUCCAGUGCGUCGCCCGACGUCUGCCGUGUAAGGAGGGUGCAUCCACAAAACUUUGGAAAAGAUGAAGGUCACCAUGUAAAGGAGAUAUUGGUCUCUCGAAUUGCCUAAGAUGCCUCUUGAUCUACAGUCUCACAAUUCGCACUCAAUAAUGCUCGCAUUCUCUCCACACGUGGCGUUGCUCCGGCACGUGGCACGCGGCGCCACUUGAGCGCGCUGCGACGGGGCGCAAGUGGCGCCACCAACACCUGAAGCGCCAAAGUCAACCUCACCUGCACGCGGCGCGCCCUGCUCACAUCGACGAGGCUCUGACGACUGUCUGACCUCUCAUUAUGAAAUUGAGAAGAUCUUUAAGGCUUUUCAACUUCAUAU
Helicoverpa armigera (cotton bollworm) is the source of this 432-nucleotide long non-coding RNA. RefSeq lists it as uncharacterized. Lineage: Eukaryota; Metazoa; Arthropoda; Insecta; Lepidoptera; Noctuidae. The record is from RefSeq and is a predicted model, not a curated record. The transcript is spliced from 3 exons.